Molecule: ribosomal RNA, 462 nt
Filed under: uncultured ammonia-oxidizing beta proteobacterium
Lineage: Bacteria; Pseudomonadati; Pseudomonadota; Betaproteobacteria
Description: bacterial SSU rRNA
Rfam family: Bacterial small subunit ribosomal RNA
Source: RNAcentral
AAGCAGGGGAUCGUAAGACCUUGCGCUUUUGGAGCGGCCGAUGCCUGAUUAGCUAGUUGGUAGGGUAAGGGCCUACCAAGGCGACGAUCAGUAGUUGGUCUGAGAGGACGACCAGCCACACUGGGACUGAGACACGGCCCAGACUCCUACGGGAGGCAGCAGUGGGGAAUUUUGGACAAUGGGCGGAAGCCUGAUCCAGCAAUGCCGCGUGAGUGAAGAAGGCCUUCGGGUUGUAAAGCUCUUUCAGUCGAGAAGAAAAGGUUGCGACUAAUAAUCGCAACUUAUGACGGUAUCGACAGAAGAAGCACCGGCUAACUACGUGCCAGCAGCCGCGGUAAUACGUAGGGUGCGAGCGUUAAUCGGAAUUACUGGGCGUAAAGGGUGCGCAGGCGGCUCUGUAAGUCAGAUGUGAAAUCCCCGGGCUUAACCUGGGAAUUGCGUUUGAAACUACAAAGCUAGAGU